Molecule: ribosomal RNA, 1476 nt
Filed under: Lactiplantibacillus pentosus
Lineage: Bacteria; Bacillati; Bacillota; Bacilli; Lactobacillales; Lactobacillaceae
Description: bacterial SSU rRNA
Rfam family: Bacterial small subunit ribosomal RNA
Source: RNAcentral
CCGGCGUGCCUAAUACAUGCAAGUCGAACGAACUCUGGUAUUGAUUGGUGCUUGCAUCAUGAUUUACAUUUGAGUGAGUGGCGAACUGGUGAGUAACACGUGGGAAACCUGCCCAGAAGCGGGGGAUAACACCUGGAAACAGAUGCUAAUACCGCAUAACAACUUGGACCGCAUGGUCCGAGUUUGAAAGAUGGCUUCGGCUAUCACUUUUGGAUGGUCCCGCGGCGUAUUAGCUAGAUGGUGGGGUAACGGCUCACCAUGGCAAUGAUACGUAGCCGACCUGAGAGGGUAAUCGGCCACAUUGGGACUGAGACACGGCCCAAACUCCUACGGGAGGCAGCAGUAGGGAAUCUUCCACAAUGGACGAAAGUCUGAUGGAGCAACGCCGCGUGAGUGAAGAAGGGUUUCGGCUCGUAAAACUCUGUUGUUAAAGAAGAACAUAUCUGAGAGUAACUGUUCAGGUAUUGACGGUAUUUAACCAGAAAGCCACGGCUAACUACGUGCCAGCAGCCGCGGUAAUACGUAGGUGGCAAGCGUUGUCCGGAUUUAUUGGGCGUAAAGCGAGCGCAGGCGGUUUUUUAAGUCUGAUGUGAAAGCCUUCGGCUCAACCGAAGAAGUGCAUCGGAAACUGGGAAACUUGAGUGCAGAAGAGGACAGUGGAACUCCAUGUGUAGCGGUGAAAUGCGUAGAUAUAUGGAAGAACCACCCAGUGGCGAAGGCGGCUGUCUGGUCUGUAACUGACGCUGAGGCUCGAAAGUAUGGGUAGCAAACAGGAUUAGAUACCCUGGUAGUCCAUACCGUAAACGAUGAAUGCUAAGUGUUGGAGGGUUUCCGCCCUUCAGUGCUGCAGCUAACGCAUUAAGCAUUCCGCCUGGGGAGUACGGCCGCAAGGCUGAAACUCAAAGGAAUUGACGGGGGCCCGCACAAGCGGUGGAGCAUGUGGUUUAAUUCGAAGCUACGCGAAGAACCUUACCAGGUCUUGACAUACUAUGCAAAUCUAAGAGAUUAGACGUUCCCUUCGGGGACAUGGAUACAGGUGGUGCAUGGUUGUCGUCAGCUCGUGUCGUGAGAUGUUGGGUUAAGUCCCGCAACGAGCGCAACCCUUAUUAUCAGUUGCCAGCAUUAAGUUGGGCACUCUGGUGAGACUGCCGGUGACAAACCGGAGGAAGGUGGGGAUGACGUCAAAUCAUCAUGCCCCUUAUGACCUGGGCUACACACGUGCUACAAUGGAUGGUACAACGAGUUGCGAACUCGCGAGAGUAAGCUAAUCUCUUAAAGCCAUUCUCAGUUCGGAUUGUAGGCUGCAACUCGCCUACAUGAAGUCGGAAUCGCUAGUAAUCGCGGAUCAGCAUGCCGCGGUGAAUACGUUCCCGGGCCUUGUACACACCGCCCGUCACACCAUGAGAGUUUGUAACACCCAAAGUCGGUGGGGUAACCUUUUAGGAACCAGCCGCCUAAGGUGGGACAGAUGAUUAC